This is a long non-coding RNA of Piliocolobus tephrosceles (Ugandan red Colobus), 2252 nucleotides long. The record is from Ensembl. NCBI's taxonomy places the organism in Eukaryota, Metazoa, Chordata, Mammalia, Primates, Cercopithecidae.
AUGUAUAUAUAUUUUAACAUAAUUCGUUUUCUUUUUUUUCAUGUCCCUCAUUUUUGUUCAGUAAAGAAAAUUAAGAAUAUUAAAAUCGAAAAAAAAUCUGAAAACAACAACAGAACAGCUAGAUAUAUAAACCAACACGUUUUAAUUGACUACUCAAAUGUAAAUUAUGACCUAAAUUUAAAAAAUUAUAUAGCUAGAAUCUUAAGAAUUUACAAAUUAGAAGAUAACUUUGAUUUUAUGAAAGGGUUACAUUUAUAUAUGAACAUUUUAUCCUAUGUUAUAUUUAAAAAAUUUACAUAUGCAUAUAAUAAAAACGAAGCUAAAAAUAAAAACUUGUUGGUAUUUUUAAAAAAUUUAUUUCCUUUUGAAUUUCAAAACUUUCAAGACGUAUAUGAUACAAGGUGGGGUAAGGAUAUCAACACUUCCGAACAUUAUAAUGAUGAUGUUAUAGUUAUGCAUAAAACUGAUGUAGAAAUAGUAGGGAACUUGCAUACAUCAGAAAAAGAUAAAAACAGUUAUAAUAAAAAUUGUGAAAAUAAUAACGAUGGUUGUAAUAGUAAACAGCAAGAGCAAGAGCAAGAGCGAGAGAAAGAGCAAGAAAAACAACAACCAAAUGAUAAAGACAAACAUACUAACAAUUUAAAUAUACCUAAUUUAGAAAAAAAUAACCAAAGUGUAAAUAACGGAAGAAGUAAUAUUAAAAGCACUAGUUCUAUGGACAUGUCAUAUUAUAUUAACAACUGUAUCUCUAAUUGUAAAAACGGUUCUACUCUUAAUAAUAUCACUAAGGAUAAUAAAGUUGUGUUAGUCAAAAGGGAAAAAUUAGAAUCGAACGAAGCGAACAAAAAAAAUAUAAACAGUAGCUCAUCACCAGACGUACAUGCCAAUGGCGAAUUUGUAUAUACGGAUAUACUGAAAAAUAAAAACAUAGAAACAGUCACUAUAAAUAUAUUCGAUAAACAUCGAUUUGAUUAUAGAACUCGUUUUCGAAGUUUAAUAUCACAAAGCUUAAAUAAUGAUGAUUAUAUAAAAUACUGUGAAAUAAGAGAAAAAUUAUUUAAAUAUAAAAAAAAAAAUUUCAUAAAUUGGUUGUCUAAUUUUACAAAUAUGAAUAUAUUAAAUUUAUAUGUAAUUAAUUUUUUUAUAUUUUUAUUUUUAGAUAGGUUAUAUUUAAUAAUAGAGACAUAUAUACGAUUUAACUAUUAUGAACAACAAAACAAAAAUUGUUCUAUUAAUAAUUCUUUGACAGAAAACAUAGAUAAUUUAAAGAAUUUACCAAAUUUUAAUUAUAUUUUAAGUUAUUUAACACAAUUUAUAAACAAAGAUGAUGCCAAUAUAUCAAUAAGUGUCAUUCAUAAAACUGAUAAUGAUUCACAAAAUAAUAAAAAAAAUCAAAAUUUAAAAAAAGAAAAUAAUUGUUCCGCUAAUGAUAAAAAUAAUUUGACACAAAUAUAUAAUACAAUUGUUAAAGAAAAAUUUUCCAAUUUCUUUUUAUCAAUAAAUUUGAUAUAUAAUUUAGAUAUAUAUAAUUUAAAAAUAAAAAAUAAAAUAAAUUUUCAAAAAUUAAUAAAAAUAGAUAUUUCUUCGUAUAUUAAUGAAAGUAACAUUUAUGAACUUAUAAAAUUUGAUAAAAAUAAGAAUAUAUCUCCUUGGAAUUUAUUAACCAAUUAUGCUAUACUUCAAAACAGGUGAGGACCGACUUUAUACUCAUACAUACACUUAUAUUACAUACAUAUAUCUAUAUAUUAUUUUUACAAACUAUUAUAUUAAGGCGCAUGUAUGUAGGUAUAUAAUAUGUACAUAUAUAUAUAUAUAUAUACAAACAUGCGUUUGUACAUUAGUCAUUUUUCUCUCAUUUUUCUUGUCAUGUCUUUUUUUUUUUUAACUUAUCAGCAAUUUCAAGUUGGAAAAAUUUGACUGCUUUUCCAUUUUUCUUAUUGUUCGCUUCAAGUUUUAUUUGGAAGAAUUUAAGGAAAAUGCAAACAUUGAUUACAUAUACAAAAAUAUAAAAGAAGAAUAUCUCGAAGUCGAAAAUUACUUAAAAAACAAAAACAAUGAAACUGACAAUUGUAAAGCACAUAAUUCCAAUUAUUUUGAAUUUAAUAGCUUAAUACCUCUUUAUCUUGAUAUACAAAAAGAAUUGAAAAAGGUAUUCUUAUGUUUAAUAAUUUGUUUUUAUUUAUCUAUUUGUAAUUGUUUAUUUUUUUUUUUUUUUUGUUCAGUUUAGAAUGUUUUUUUAAGGCACUUCGAUA